RNAcentral lists this RNase P RNA (365 nucleotides) under Gammaproteobacteria bacterium. RNAcentral's name for it is "RNase P RNA component class A". It matches the Rfam family "Bacterial RNase P class A". From Rfam's summary of the family: Ribonuclease P (RNase P) is a ubiquitous endoribonuclease, found in archaea, bacteria and eukarya as well as chloroplasts and mitochondria. Its best characterised activity is the generation of mature 5'-ends of tRNAs by cleaving the 5'-leader elements of precursor-tRNAs. The record is from RNAcentral. Lineage: Bacteria; Pseudomonadati; Pseudomonadota; Gammaproteobacteria.
AGAGUCAACUAGGCAAUCGCUGUAUUCUUCANGAUAGAAGUUUUCAGAGGAAAGUCCGGGCUCCUUCGGAUAGGGUGCCAGGUAACACCUGGAGGGUGNGAACCCAUGGAAAGUGCCACAGAAAAUAUACCGCCAAGCUUUGCUGGUAAGGGUGAAAUGGUGCGGUAAGAGCGCACCGCGUGAAUGGUGACAUUUCGCGGCAAGGUAAACCCCACCUGGAGCAAGACCAAAUAGAGGAGUNUACGAUAUUAAUCGUAUUGUGAAUCCGAGCAAACUCCUGGGUAGGUUGCUAAAGACAUUCGGUGACGAAUGUAUCAGAUGAAUGGUUGCCCAAGACAGAACCCGGCUUAUAGUUGACUCUUGCU